Small nuclear RNA from Manis pentadactyla (Chinese pangolin), 108 nucleotides. NCBI's taxonomy places the organism in Eukaryota, Metazoa, Chordata, Mammalia, Pholidota, Manidae. The record is from RefSeq and is a predicted model, not a curated record.
GUGCUUGCUUUGACAGUACAUUACUAAAAAUUGGAACAAUACAGAGAAGCAGUAGCAUGGUCCUUGUGCAAGGAAGACAAGCAAAUUCAUGAAGUAUUUCACACAAAA